Molecule: long non-coding RNA, 495 nt
Organism: Asparagus officinalis (garden asparagus)
Lineage: Eukaryota; Viridiplantae; Streptophyta; Magnoliopsida; Asparagales; Asparagaceae
Exons: 3
Source: RefSeq, a predicted model, not a curated record
GCAGCAAAGGUACGAACAAGCAAAGCGUAGAUGCCUCGAACUGAAAGGUACCGAGCGACCUCCUAGACGCGGCCGCAAUGCUACUAAGGAAUCGAACCUCAUCCCUGAUAUUAAUCGGAGGGUUGUGAUCCGAUGGGAAAACGGAGUGCCUGUUGGGGCCUUUGCCAAUGCUUUCAACAAUUUCCUUGCCGCUUUAGCCAGGAGGCACGAUUUCUUCAACAUAUUUUUGACGUGGAAAUCGCAGCGGAUUGAUGCGCUGGUGGCUUGUUGGAGAUAUAUAUGUCGAUUUUUCUUUCUUGACGAUAAUAUUUGUGCCUGGACGUACUGCUUCGGGCAAAUCAAUGUAUCGUUCAAGAGAUGGCGGUUUGAGGUAAAGAAAAAAUAUUUUGUCCAAAUAACAGAAGAUUGGGAGCGAUACUGGCAUCUUGACACGCGUGUGGAUGGAGUAGAUUUUUUUGCACUUUGCAGUUACUGGGACACGGCUGAAAUUCAGGU